CAAAAACAACAUCUAAUCCCCCGUAAGACAAGAUUUGUGCAGAAAUGAUUUGUGGUCUCUGCACAAAAGCAACAUCAUGGGUUUUGGUUAUUUCCUUGGCCAUGUUGGGGGAGGAUACAACCACUGCAGAAAUCUCACCAAGUUGGAGGUGCAUGAGAGGUCCAUAUAUAUGAGCAAGUUUUUGAAGUGCACGAUGUGGGAGUGAACCUGCUACUGCUAGUUGAUGCAUGUUUCCUAUGAGAGGUAGCUUUUUUGGACCAGGGGGAAGUUUGUGAGCAACAUUAGGUUUUAGCUUGAGAUAUUUUGCAAGCCAAUUCAGUAGAAUGAAGAGGGAUAAGGCAAUAACCAAGAAGUAGGUUUGAGCUUCCAUAUAUGGCUUUAUUAUAGAGUCAGCUCUCAAGGGUUUUAUUGUUGUUUGUCGAUGGCUGGUUCGGUUCCUAUUUAUAGAAUCUUCAAUCCGCAAGGAAAUUUCGAUCUAUCUAUCAUUUUUAAACCACUCAACGUACUCUUAUAUUCUUUUCAAAUAUCACUUACGUUCAAUAUCCUCCUUUUUUACGCUACAUACGAAAUGCUUUCAAACCAUUUAGACUUUAGAGAGGAUGUUUUCACAUCAAUUAUUUCAAAGUAAACGAUAUAAUAUUAUUUUCAUAUUAAUGAUAUAAAAAUAUAAACAAAUGUUAAAACUCUUAAUUUUAAAAUAUUAAUUUAAUUAAUAAAAUCAUAGUAAUUUACAGUAUAUUGUACACUUAAUGAUAAAUGAAAAAAGUUAAGUGAAUAGUAUUUUCAAUAAUCAAGGGAAGUAAAUUUUUUUAAUUGAAUAACUAACUAAAAUAGAUUGAAUUACUUAAAAUUGAGUUUUCUAUAAACAACAAUUUUUUAUGAUUAAAAAAAUAUCUCAAUUAAAACUAUUAAACUAAAAUUUAAUUGACACAAAAAUAAGUUUAAAUAAAAAAAUAUAAAAAUGGGGGUCAUCUAAAGGUUAUUUAAAAUUAUAUCAAUUAUGGGGGCAAUUAUGGGGGAUCAAGCUAAAGGGAAAGUUGUAUCAGACUGCGGUAAGACCAGCGAUUUUGUACGGAACAGUUGGGCGGUCAAGAGCCAACAUGAGAAUAAAGUAGGUGUAGCGGAGAUGAGGAUGUUGCGGUGGAUGUGUGGUAAGACUCGACAGGAUAAAAUUAAAAACAAAGCUAUUAGAGAGAGGGUUGGAGUAGCGCCUAUUGUAGAGAAGAUGGUGGAAAGUAGACUUAGGUGGUUUGGACAUGUAGAGAGAAGACCGGUAGACUCUGUAGUGAGGAGAGUAGACCAGAUGGAGAGAAGGCAAACAAUUCGAGACAGAGAAAGACCCAAAAAGACUAUAAGAGAGGUUAUCAAAAAGGAUCUCGAACUUAAUGAUUUGGAUAGAAGUAUGGUACUUGAUAGAACAUUAUGGCGGAAGUUGAUCCAUGUAGCCGACCCCACCUAGUGGGAUAAGGCGUUGUUGUUGUUGUAUGGGGGACAAUUAAUAAAAGAUAAGAAAUUUAAAAUGAGUUGUUUAAAUUGUACCAAUUAAAAAAGCACUAGCAUGAUAAAAUUAUAUUUAGAUUCAUAUUCAUAAAAAUUAAAUAAAUAUCACUUGUUUAAUAUAUUUUUAAAUGAUAAACAUGAAUUUUAAACAUGACUUAUCAUAUUCAUGGAAUUAGAAAAUGUGUUCCAUAUAUAAUAUUUAUUAAAAUAAUUAUAAACAUAAAAUUUAAACUUAACUUCUCAUAUCCAUGAAAUAAAAAAAAUGUAUUUCAUUUUAAUACUUAUUAAAAAUGAUAAGCAUAAAAUUAUAUUAUAUAAUGUCAUAUUCAUGAAAAUAGAAAGUGUACUUCAUGCUUUUAAUUAAAAAUGAUAAACGCUAAUUAAAUUUAAAAAAACUAUAAUAUCCACGAAAUAAGAAAAUGUGUUUCAUAUUUUAUGGUUCCAUCCAUAUCGGCCUGGACGAUAUCAUUCUAGGACCAAAUCAGCAAAUUGCAAAAUAUGUUCAUUCUUUUUUUUUUUACCAAACAAAAUAUGUUGAUUCUUAAUUACCAUACAAGUUACAACAAAGACAUGCAUGUGGAAAAACAAGAACUUUUCUAAUGGCAUGAUGAUAUAAAUUAUAUUUUAAUUCUAUUUGUUUAAAUAUCUAAUAAUAAUUAUUAUUAUAAAUAUAUAAAAUGUUUUUAAAUUACUAUUUUUUUUCUGAAUGAAAAAAAUACAAAUUUAAAUUUGAAUGCAUACAGAAAAUUAUCAAUUACAAAUUUAAAUGUGCUUAUUAAAGAUAGUGUGCCAAGAAUUAAUCCUUAAAAAUAUUAAGAUAAGAGAUUGAUAUUUUUUAAUGAAUAUUUUUCAUACACAUAAACUUAGAAUCAAAGUUUUUACCGCAUACUUAAGGGACAACUAGACAAUGUUACGUUAAACAUGUCCACAUAUUUAAUAUAUACAAGUCUUAUUUAAAUAAAUCUUCCAACUGAUUUUAUACGUAAAUUGUACUUGUUAAAUAUAAUUUUUUAAAUUUCUUAACAGUAUUUUAUAUAAUUAUAUACUUCAAAUACUAUUAAAUAAAUUUCAUUAUAUUUUGUGAGUUGUAUUUCAUAAAUACGACUUAGCUUAUACAAUUUUUCAUAAAAAGAAAUAGAUAAAUGACAAUUUCUUAAAUAUAAUUUAAUGUAUUUUUAUAAGUAAAAAUAUGUAAUUAAAUUCUAUCUUACGUAUUAGAAAGAUUUUAAAUAUAUUUUCAUAAAUUUAUAACAUAAACUUUUAUAUAAUAAAAAAUUAUUAAUGAAUAUUGAAUUAAUUUAUUUAUUUAUCCAAACUCUCCUCCUUAAGGGACAGUUGACCGUUUACCCAGUAUUAUUUAUUUAUUUUUAUAAGUUUUUCAACUGGUUGGAGUACCUGGGAACGAGAUAAUUCAACCACAUAUCUUAUCCGCUUUUAAAUAAAUUAGUUACGAUUUGACAGGUGAAAGUGAAACUAUGUUUUUUGGGCAACAAAGUCACCUAAACAUUAAAAAGUCAAAACGUCCCGUAACCAUAAUUUAUAAAUGAAGUUGACACGUAUCAUAUACAAAAGUUCCUCCUUGAAUUCCACGGUGUUUAAUCUAUUUACCCAGUCCAGUCAAUGUUUCUCCAUAAUGAAACAUCUAUUUGUAUUGACCGGUAGCCAUGCUAAAAAAUAAUAAUUAUUUAAUGAAAAAUAUUGAAUCUUAGAACCAUUUUUAUUGAUAUAACUUUUAUCCAAUAAAAUUUAACGGCUUAAAUUACAACUUAUUCUCUAGUAUCUUAUUUUUAGUUUUAGUUCUUCUGUUAUUUUUUUUGUAAGUCCUUGUAAAAAUUUAAAAAAUUAUAAUUUUAGUUUCGACUAAUAACAUUAAUUGAUAUAAUAGUUACAAUAACAUCUUAUUUAUUGAUUUGUCAGUCAUCAACAAAUCAAACCAGUAAUCACAUGUAAUUUUUCUGUUUUUAAUAUAAUUUUUAAUUCUUCAUCAUUUGAUUAGUAUCACAUUUUUGAAUAAAUGAAGAUUUGGAAUCAUGAUUUACAAAAUAAAUUACUCCUAAUUAUCCUAUUAAGUUUCUUAAUAACACAAUAAAUUAAUGAAUUGUCAAUGUCAUUAAUCAAUAUUAUUACUUAACAGCAAAAUUAAAAAAAUUCAAUAACUAAAAUUAAAUAAAUCUUUAAAAGACUAAAAAUAUAAUAUUUUAUAAGAACCAAAUUAUUAUAAAAAGUAAAUGAUAAUAAUAAUAAUAAUAACUCUUUUAGAAUGAUCUCUUGUAAUAAGUAGAUCCUCUCUUUAGUAGUAGGUGUGCAUGCAUGUGCUCCUAACUGGUUUCACUUAGAUAAUUGGCAUAUUUCUAUUUAGUCUUUUUAACAACAUUAUAUGACACUAACUAAUAAUGAAAGAACUUAAUUAAAUGAUAUAAUUUACAACUUUAGAAAUGAUUUUUGUUGAUUUUUUUUAUUUUAGAUACCAAUUUAAUCAUGAUUAUAGUUUCAGGAACUAAAAUAAUUGGCCAUUUAAACUUUCAAAUAAUAUUUUGCUAUUUUAUUAAUUUCCUAAACCAAUUUAACUAACCGUUAUAAUUUUAAAGGUUGAAUUAAUUAUUCACUCUUUAAAAAUUUAUAUCCGACGCGAAGAUUAAUUUGAACGAAUCCGUGGUAUUACACUAUUGAGUUUUCUUUUCAAUUUGCAGUCAAAAUAUUUUUUUUCUUUUUCUUAUAUAUAGAAAGCUUUCUAGAAAACUUGCAUUAUGCAUAUUUUAAUAUUAUGUUUUGUAUGUAUUAGAGCAGAUUUUGAAUUUAGGUUCAAUAUUGUCUAUUCUUUUUUUUUUUUAGUAUUCAAUGCCUAUUUUUAAACAUUAUUAGGCUAGUUGCACAUUCUAUACGUUGAAAGAUAUUAAAUUUUGUGUCACAUAUAUUAAUGAGCUUUAACUUUUGUCAUGUAUAAAUUCCUAUAUAUGCAUAUGUUUAAAAAAAAGUCAAUACAUAUUUUCAAAUUGAUGUAUGAAAAUGACAAGUUGGUGCGUUUUCUUUCCUAAGAUUUAAUCAAGGAUAAAUUAGAAAAUGAUCAAAUUAAUUGGAAUGAGUUAAGUCAUUUCAUUUCUUAAUAAAUAAAAGAUAAUGGUUGAUGUAUCAAAUUAAAAAAAAAAAAAAGAAGAUAAUGUUGGCUUAAGAUACAAUCAAUUCAAAGAAUGUUAACUUUAUUAUUAAUAUAACGAAAAGUAAAUUGAGUGAUGCGUACUCAAAUGACCAUUCCCAUUUCAUUGCAUGUAUAAAAAUAAAAGAUGAUAAUGGCUUAAGAUACAUUCAAUUCAUGGAAUGUUUAUUUUAUGAUUUAGUGAAAAGUAAAUAGAGUUACUCGUAAAUGUAAGCUCUAUCAUUGCUAUUGAUUCUCUCUGACCAACGACACAAACUCAUCUUGGUCCUCAGAUUUGUUUCCAAACGCUGCCAGUAGUGCUUAACAAAUUAAGAGAAAAUUCUGCUGGUAAGAUUGAUUGGUGAGCCUGCUAUUUUCGAAUGGAGUCUAUAAUUUUUUGUCUCAUCUUCUAAUAAAUAAGAGAAAGAUUAGACUCUCUCGGCACUUAGAAGCUCUAACACACGUACAUUUUUUUCUCAUUUGCCUCUAAUAAUCACCACCAUAUGGAGCAAAAGCAAUAUUUGUUGCCCCAUAGGCCAAAGUUUGAGGAGAGAGAAGUUGUGGCUGCACAAAAGCAAGAUCGUGGGUUUUCAUUAUCUCCUUGGCCACCAUCUUGGGGAGGAUACAAUUAAUCACUGCAGAAAUUUCACAUAGUUGCAGGUGCAUGAGAGGUUCAUAUUUAUGAGCAAGUUCUCGAAGAGCAUGAUAUUGAAGUGAACCUGCCACUGUUAGCAAGUUGAUGCAGGUUCCUAUGAGAGGUAACUUCCUUGGGCCUGGGGACAAUGUGUGACUGGAUUUUGACUUGUACUUUUUAAUGAGCCAAUGCAAGAGCAAGAACAAAAAGAAGGUAUAAUAACAAUGCGUAAUUUUAUUAUUCUACCAGUUAAUUUAAUCUUUAAUAUUAAGAUUUAUAAAUUGUAAAUCAUCAAUUAAUUUAAUCUUUAAAAUUGUAAUGAGUAAUAAAAUCGGUCCCUAAUUUUUUUUUUUAAAAAAAUCUUCAACUAUAAAUCAUCAAUCAAUUUAAUCUAACGUCAUUAAAUGAGUAGAGGAAUAGUAAAGACGCGUUAGGAUGGGAAAAACUAAUUAUUAUUCUACCAAUUUAAGGUCAUUUUUAUUCAUGUGACGUAAGUGAAACUAGUUUCUUCAAAAAAAAAAAAAAAAAACUAAGUGAAACUAUAGUUGGUUUGUUACUUAACUAACAUUUAAUUCAUUUCAGUCUUUUUGACAAAAUUAGGUGAUACUAAUUAAUAACGAGAGAACUAAGUUAGUUGAUAAUUUACAAUUUUAGGAGUCAUUUUAUUAUAUUUUUAAAGUUCAGACAAUAAUUUUAAUGGCUAAAUUAAUCAUCCACUCUUUAAAAAUUUAUAUUCCAAGAUUUGAACGAGUCCUUGGUAUUACACUAUUAUGUAAUUUUUUUAAGUCAAAAUGUAUACGUAAUUAAAAUUUUCAAGAUAACAAUAUUUACCAUAGAAUAAAAUUAAAAUAAAUAUUCUUAUGGUAUGAGCAUUUAUUAGAGGAUAAAAUUAAAAUAAAUAUUCUUAUGAUGGGAGCAUUUACAAUAACAGAAAGGUUGGUCAUUGGUAAGGAACACAACUCCCAAACAUCAAGUAUGAACUUUGAUAUGAAGUAGGUCAUUCAUAUUAUUGAUGCAUGUAAAAAAAAAUCCUCCAUGUGUUGCUAUGCAUUAAUGCUCUAUAUUUGCUAGCAUUGAGAUAGCUAAUAAAUGAGAUGGAAGGGACAAAAGUGUGAAAACGAGGAAACUUGCAUUGUUUUGGUAGCAAGAAAAUAAAGAGGAAUUAUUCAGAGAAUUUUAAUUUCUCAUCUUUUAGAAGGAAAUUGAAAUUCCACAUUUUUAGUUAUUUAAAAUUCUGUUUUAAAAUUCAAAAAAUUUUAAUUCUUUAUAAAAAAAUCCAAACAAUGAAUUUUAAAAUACAAAAUUUUAAAUUCUCUUAUAAAUUAUUUUUCUCAGUUAAAUUUUUUUAUCCAAAUAUACUCUUAGCUUAUUUUUAGCUUGGAUUCUUUUGUUGGUCGGGACUCUUUAUUUUUACGUUAUUUUAUUCAGAGUCUAAUGGAUAAUAUUGUAUGCUUGCAUUAUCAUGGACUGGCUUUUUAUUUAAAAUUCGGGAGUGGUUUUGUUUUUGUUUUUGUUUUGUUAUGCAUACAUGGGUCUCAUGCCCCGUUACAUAAUUCAUUUUUUUUAGUGCCUUUUAUAAUUUUGCUCGAAGCCCGUUUCCAUAAGAGCAUAACAUAAUUGAUUAGGCUCAAUAGCGGUGUUUGUAAUGGACUUAUCUUUUUUUAAAAAAACAUUUUAUAAAUUAUAUACAACAAAUAUUUUUAAUUUACUUCAAUUAUUAAAAAAUUAUAUAUUUUUAUUAUAUAGUGAAAAUGAUUAUACAUCUAAAUUUUAUAUUAAUUGUGUAUGAUAUAAAUGUUUAUACCAAUUUAAAUGAGUUUACCAUUUCAAUAUUAUAUAAAUAUUAAAACUUUAGACUAUAUAUCACUAUUAAUAUAUUUAAUAACACAAAUUAGCUUUAUAUUAAAUGGAUAAUUAUUUAAAUUAAUUAUAAAAUAGCUUUAUUUCCUUUCAAGUAUGUUAAAAGAAAAAUGUGUAUAAGAAAAGAAUAUUAAAAAAAUGGUGUACAAAUGUAUUAUACAAUGAAUAGUAAAAACUUCACCCUUGUAAAAAAAAUCAUCGUAAUGAUAGUCAAAUAUUAUUGAUUAUAGAUUCAGUAACAAGCAAAAAAUUACAUCAAACAAGACUCCCCAAAGUGUAAAGAUAUCUCAAUAGACAUGCACUACAAAUAUUAUCACUGUGUGGCUUUUCUUUUAGUUUCUUUGCGCCUUGGGUUCCUUUAUUCUCUGUAACUUUUUUAUUCUGAAUAUCAUUGGUACUCUUAUUGAAUCUCCUUUGGCCUAUUAAAAAAAAAUACAUGUAUCAUGAAGCUUCAUAAAUAGUGGGAAUCAAAAACAACUUGUUUUUCCUUACAACUGUCAGUCCGAAGAGUUCAUCCAUAUCCAAAUCCGCAGGUUUCAUCUUAUUUGGGAGUUCCCAAUUAAAGUGAUAGAGUAAUAAAGCCAAUGGAAGCGUAAUGCUAGCCAAACCAAAUGUAAUGCC
RNAcentral lists this long non-coding RNA (7748 nucleotides) under Glycine max (soybean). RNAcentral describes it as "long non-coding RNA (GMAX_LNC000203)". Lineage: Eukaryota; Viridiplantae; Streptophyta; Magnoliopsida; Fabales; Fabaceae. The record is from RNAcentral.